CGAGCGGCAGCGACUUAACUGAACCUUCGGGGAACGUUAAGGGCGGCGAGCGGCGGACGGGUGAGUAAUGCCUGGGAAUAUGCCCUGAUGUGGGGGAUAACUAUUGGAAACGAUAGCUAAUACCGCAUAAUCUCUUCGGAGCAAAGAGGGGGACCUUCGGGCCUCUCGCGUCAGGAUUAGCCCAGGUGGGAUUAGCUUGUUGGUGAGGUAAUGGCUCACCAAGGCAACGAUCCCUAGCUGGUCUGAGAGGAUGAUCAGCCACACUGGAACUGAGACACGGUCCAGACUCCUACGGGAGGCAGCAGUGGGGAAUAUUGCACAAUGGGGGAAACCCUGAUGCAGCCAUGCCGCGUGUGUGAAGAAGGCCUUCGGGUUGUAAAGCACUUUCAGUAGGGAGGAAGGUAGUGUAGUUAACACCUGCAUUAUUUGACGUUACCUACAGAAGAAGCACCGGCUAACUCCGUGCCAGCAGCCGCGGUAAUACGGAGGGUGCGAGCGUUAAUCGGAAUUACUGGGCGUAAAGCGCAUGCAGGCGGCCUGUUAAGUCAGAUGUGAAAGCCCGGG
Molecule: ribosomal RNA, 564 nt
Filed under: Photobacterium damselae subsp. damselae
Lineage: Bacteria; Pseudomonadati; Pseudomonadota; Gammaproteobacteria; Vibrionales; Vibrionaceae
Description: bacterial SSU rRNA
Rfam family: Bacterial small subunit ribosomal RNA
Source: RNAcentral